This 242-nucleotide long non-coding RNA is filed under the name Apteryx owenii (little spotted kiwi). RNAcentral describes it as "lncRNA (ENSAOWG00000013196.1)". The record is from RNAcentral. Lineage: Eukaryota; Metazoa; Chordata; Aves; Apterygiformes; Apterygidae.
UCCACCCUCCAAAUUAAAUAAUAUGUUCUUUGUGCAGGAGAGGUGAGCUGUUUGAUUUGUGCUGUGGUUGCACCAGCUGAUGUAGUCAAGAUAUACCCAACCCUGUCCCCUGUGUUAGAGCAUAUGGAGGGUCCCACAAGAAUCAAGUCAUUUUUCCUCUCUAUGCCUCUGCUGUCCAAACCGUCCAUUUAGACUGCAUAAUUCCAAGAGAAAAAUACAAAGAAUUACCUAAAUUAAGCAUC